GUAGUCUCGCACAGAUGCAUAUCAAUAAGCGGAGGAAAAGAAACUAACAAGGAUUCCCCUAGUAACGGCGAGUGAAGCGGGAAGAGCUCAAAUUUGAAAUCUUAAAGGGUUUCCCUUUACGAAUUGUAGUUUAAAGAAGUGUUUUCUGUUGAGGUUUUGGUAAAAGUUCUUUGGAAUAGGACAUCAUAGAGGGUGAGAAUCCCGUAUUUGACCUUUACUUUCAACUUUGUGAUACACUUUCAAAGAGUCGGAUUGUUUGGGAAUGCAGUCCAAAAUGGGUGGUAAAUUUCAUCUAAAGCUAAAUAUUGGCGAGAGACCGAUAGCGUAACAAGUACCGUGAGGGAAAGAUGAAAAGAACUUUGAAAAGAGAGUUAAACAGUACGUGAAAUUGUCAAAAGGGAAGCGUUUGACACCAGUGUUGUUUUUCUGAAAAUCAAUUAAAGAACUGUUUAUGCUAAGUUGUUUAGACUUUAUCAGCUAACUGUUUAGUUUUGAGCUUUUCUUUAAUGCACUUUUCAGUUAACAAGUCAACAUCAAUUUCUUUUGCUGUAAAAAAGCUUGAGGAAGGUGGCUUGAGAUUCGUCUUAAGUGUUUAUAGCCUCUUGCCUAUGCAGUCGGAGAGAUUGAGGUCUGCAGCGUAGAUCCUUCGGGGCUUAAAUAGCAUUUGUGCUAAGUUAUAGCAUUUUAUAGACAACUUGUUGACUAUGAUUUGUCUUGUAGCUUACUCGCUUAUGUUAUUUUACCUACGCUUAGGAUGUUGAUCUGUAGUGCGUGCG
Molecule: ribosomal RNA, 776 nt
Filed under: uncultured Neocallimastigales
Lineage: Eukaryota; Fungi; Neocallimastigomycota; Neocallimastigomycetes; Neocallimastigales
Description: partial large subunit ribosomal RNA
Rfam family: Eukaryotic large subunit ribosomal RNA
Source: RNAcentral